GAUGAAGAACGUAGCGAAAUGCGAUACUUGGUGUGAAUUGCAGAAUCCCGUGAACCAUCGAGUCUUUGAACGCAAGUUGCGCCCGAAGCCAUUAGGCCGAGGGCACGCCUGCCUGGGCGUCACACGUCGUUGCCCCCCCAUCUACUCCUUCGGGAUUGCGGGGGGCGGAUGAUGGCCUCCCGUGCGCCUCGUCGCGCGGUUGGCAUAAAUGCCAGGUCCUCGGCGACGCACGCCACGACAAUCGGUGGUUGCGAAACCUCGGUUGCCCGUCGUGUGCGGUCGUCGCGCAUCGAGGGCUCGAAAAAAUUGCCGGGCUCCGGCUCGGCUUUCAACGCGACCCCAGGUCAGGCGGGGUUACCCGCUGAAUUUAAGCAUAUCAAUAAGCGGAGGA
RNAcentral lists this unclassified non-coding RNA (391 nucleotides) under soil metagenome. Its description in RNAcentral is "partial contains 5.8S ribosomal RNA, internal transcribed spacer 2, and large subunit ribosomal RNA". The stretch from base 1 to 122 matches the Rfam family "5.8S ribosomal RNA", at positions 35 to 154 of the family's 154-position model. The record is from RNAcentral.